AAGACUGCUUUCAAGAAUCAUUUCUAUAGUUCUCUUGCUACAGAAGUAUGUCUCAGACUGACUGGUCUGACUACCCACAGUGAAGAGUGCUAUGCUCUGCACAGAAGGCCAACAAAGACAGCAGUACUGCUUUGGGGACACAGGUGCUCUCUGUUGUUGAUGAUUGCUUCUCUUUUCCUUUGGGAAAAGCUGCAAGAAGAGAGCACAGUCUGAGUGGU
This 218-nucleotide small nucleolar RNA is filed under the name Alligator mississippiensis (American alligator). RNAcentral describes it as "Small nucleolar RNA U3". It matches the Rfam family "Small nucleolar RNA U3". Rfam says of the family: Small nucleolar RNAs (snoRNAs) are involved in the processing and modification of rRNA in the nucleolus. There are two main classes of snoRNAs: the box C/D class, and the box H/ACA class. The record is from Rfam by way of RNAcentral. Lineage: Eukaryota; Metazoa; Chordata; Crocodylia; Alligatoridae.